UAAAAGGAUCAUUUGACUCCCAAAGGGGU
Molecule: non-coding RNA, 29 nt
Filed under: Mus musculus (house mouse)
Lineage: Eukaryota; Metazoa; Chordata; Mammalia; Rodentia; Muridae
Source: RNAcentral